GGGAUUUGCCUAGGGUGUUACAUUGCUACUUCUGUAUUUUCUUCCAUUCUUCUCUUCACAAACUUCAAAUUGUUACGGUGCUUAUUUCUAUAGUUCAUUUCAGAAGAUAUCAAAUAGCAGAGAUUUUUCAACUCAAAUCAGGCACAAGUUCUGUAACUAAUUUCACUAAAUGACCAUAAUAAACUAGCAUUGUAUAUUAUCAGUCUCAAUUUCAAUCACUCUAUGGCAAAAAAUAAAAAGACAUUUAUGUUGCAUAUGAAAUAGCCUGGCGGCAAAAGUACAUAUAAGUUGAACAAAAAUUGAAGUUCGAGUCGCCUUCUCAUUCCUA
RNAcentral lists this unclassified non-coding RNA (328 nucleotides) under Hevea brasiliensis (rubber tree). The record is from RNAcentral. Lineage: Eukaryota; Viridiplantae; Streptophyta; Magnoliopsida; Malpighiales; Euphorbiaceae.